RNAcentral lists this ribosomal RNA (459 nucleotides) under uncultured bacterium. RNAcentral's name for it is "partial 16S ribosomal RNA". It matches the Rfam family "Bacterial small subunit ribosomal RNA", at positions 339 to 795 of the family's 1533-position model. The record is from RNAcentral.
CUACGGGUGGCAGCAGUAAGGAAUAUUGCGCAAUGGAGGCAACUCUGACGCAGCCAUGCCGCGUGCAGGAAGAAGGCCUUAUGGGUCGUAAACUGCUUUUAUUUAGGAAUAAACCCCCGAACGUGUUCGGGGCUGAAGGUACUAAACGAAUAAGCACCGGCUAACUCCGGGCCAGCAGCCGCGGUAAUACGGAGGGUGCAAGCGUUAUCCGGAUUUAUUGGGUUUAAAGGGUGCGCAGGCGGGCUAUUAAGUCAGUGGUGAAAUCCCGGGGCUCAACUCCGGAACUGCCAUUGAUACUGAUAGUCUUGAGUUUGGUUGAAGUGGGCGGAAUGUAGCAUGUAGCGGUGAAAUGCAUAGAUAUGCUACAGAACACCAAUCGCGAAGGCAGCUCGCUAAGCCAAAACUGACGCUCAUGCACGAAAGCGUGGGGAUCAAACAGGAUUAGAUACCCCCGUAGUC